RNAcentral lists this ribosomal RNA (253 nucleotides) under uncultured bacterium. RNAcentral describes it as "partial 16S ribosomal RNA". It matches the Rfam family "Bacterial small subunit ribosomal RNA", at positions 524 to 776 of the family's 1533-position model. The record is from RNAcentral.
UACGUAGGGUGCGAGCGUUGUCCGGAAUUAUUGGGCGUAAAGAGCUCGUAGGCGGUUUGUCGCGUCGACUGUGAAAACCCGAGGCUUAACCUCGGGCCUGCAGUCGAUACGGGCAGACUAGAGUUCGGUAGGGGAGACUGGAAUUCCUGGUGUAGCGGUGAAAUGCGCAGAUAUCAGGAGGAACACCGGUGGCGAAGGCAGCUCGCUGGAACGGUACUGACGCUGAGGCGCGAAAGCGUGGGGAGCGAACAGG